AGCUCCUCUUCCGGCAGUCAGCCCUUUCCUUCCGCGGUCGGGCACGGCGGCAAUGAAAGCUGAACAUGUUCUCUGCCAGGAAGUUGUCUGGAGUUUUCAGAGCCAUCAGAUUCCAUCAUUUCAGAUCCCAUUCUGUAUCCAGAGCCUCUCCAAACUUGACUUUUGUGCCAGCCUGUCUUCCCCCAGAUCCCGCGGAAGUAGAGGAGCUGCAGCACUUUGUUUCUAACUCCAAGAGGCUGUUUGUAAUGACUGGAGCUGGAAUCUCGACCGAGUCGGGGAUCCCAGAUUACCGCUCCGAAGGUGUCGGGCUCUACGCCAGGACAGACAGACGGCCUGUCCAGCACGCCGAGUUCGUUCGCAGUGCCAGCGCCCGGCAGCGCUACUGGGCAAGGAACUUUGUGGGCUGGCCCCAGUUCUCCUCCCACCAGCCAAACACAGCACACCUGGUACUGAGGGACUGGGAGAAGCUGGGGAAGCUGCACUGGCUGGUGACCCAGAACGUGGAUGCCCUUCACACCAAGGCCGGGAGCCAGCGCAUGACGGAACUGCACGGCUGCACUCACAGGGUUUUCUGCUUGGCCUGUGGAGACCGAAUCUUGCGCUCUGAGCUCCAGGAGCACUUUGAGGCUCUGAAUCCUACCUGGAAAGCGGAGGCGUUUGGCGUGGCUCCAGAUGGGGAUGUCUUCCUGACGGAUGAGCAGGUGCGCAGUUUCCAGGUCCCGGCCUGCCGUAAAUGUGGUGGAAUCCUGAAGCCUGACGUGACAUUCUUUGGAGACACGGUGAGCCAGGAAAAAGUGACUUUUGUGCACCAGCGCCUGGCGGAAUCAGACUCCAUGCUGGUGGCAGGAUCCUCCAUGCAGGUGUACUCUGGUUACAGGUUUGCUCUUGCUGCCCGGGAGAAGAAGCUGCCAAUUGCAGUCCUUAACAUUGGGCCCACAAGGUUAGAUCACUUUGCAUCCUUAAAACUGAAUUCCCGCUGUGGGGAGCUGCUGCCUUUGAUUGUUGCACAGGACCCAACCCGCUGAGCUCCAGUAGCUGUCAGGAGUAAAGUUAUUUCUGCAAGGAAUCAUCAUCUCAGAAAGGGGAAAACCUCCAUCUAGGAGGCAGCUGUGAGAUCCGGUGCACGGCCGCUGAGGACACCAGGAGAGGGCAGCAGGCCUCACGCGUGUCGGCCUCGCCAGUUCUCUCCAUUGAAACCAUCAGGAAACAGGAUGAUGAUGAAAAAAACCACUUUUCUGCCUUACCUUGCCGUGCUGUUCCUCCUGAGGUUUGGAUAGAGGAGCUGAGAGUACCUUAUAAUGGAUUUUUCUGCUGCUCCUCUGAAAGUGAGGUUGGAGUUACCCAAAGCAAAUAAAAGCCACUUCCUAUUUGGCAAAUCUUGUCUUUUUUUCUGGGCAAAUUCUCAGAGCAAACUGUAAUGGAGCCCAGCAGCCUGAGAGAGGUAUUUCACACACUGAGCUCCAGUGAGGGCAACACAGACUGCAGAUGGCCUGGAGGGCUGGGUGGCUGUGGUGUAAGUGCAGCCUCCCACAUCUUACAGUCACAUUGCUCCUACUGACACACCUGCUUGUUCAUGACUUCUGGAAAAUGACCCAAAUCUACCUUCUACAGUGUGCUUCUUCUCCCAUAACUGCCUUGGAUGUCACCCUUUCCCAGCCUUUGCAGCAGGAAGGUGAAAGACUGUUCCAGACACCUGCAAUUCUGUCCUCUCCUUUCCCACUAGGGAAAGAUACCCAAGUACCACCUUCUGCACCACUAACUAGACAAUGGCAGGGAAGAAGAAAAGCUGAGCCUGAGAGGAAGACCAACAGUACAAAUGUCUUGUAUUGGUCUCAGGCC
This is an RNA transcript of Corapipo altera (White-ruffed manakin), 1839 nucleotides long. It is a transcript of the gene named sirtuin 4, with no coding region annotated. The transcript has 6 exons. NCBI's taxonomy places the organism in Eukaryota, Metazoa, Chordata, Aves, Passeriformes, Pipridae. The record is from RefSeq and is a predicted model, not a curated record.